Molecule: ribosomal RNA, 253 nt
Filed under: uncultured bacterium
Lineage: Bacteria
Description: partial 16S ribosomal RNA
Rfam family: Bacterial small subunit ribosomal RNA
Source: RNAcentral
GACGGAGGAUGCAAGUGUUAUCCGGACUCCCUGGGCGUAAAGCGUCUGUCGGUGGUUUAAUAAGUCAACUGUUAAAUCUUGAGGCUCAACCUCAAAAUCGCAGUCGAAACUAUUAGGCUAGAGUAUAGUAGGGGUAAAGGGAAUUUCCAGUGGAGCGGUGAAAUGCGUAGAGAUUGGAAAGAACACCGAUGGCGAAGGCACUUUACUGGGCUAUUACUAACACUCAGAGACGAAAGCUAGGGUAGCAAAUGGG